UGCCCCUUAGAGUUGGUGAAGUGCUCUGAAAAUUGGGCUUGGCUCUGCACCCAUUUUCAAGACGAAAAAUACUUGAAAAGAGCCAAGGCCAACACAAUAAAUAGGUCGAAAAAGAAGCUUAUCCACCACUCCGGCUUCCGACGCUUCUCAUAUAGGAUGGAGGAGCGACGUCGGGCUGACGGGGUCAAAGUUUCCUAAGAUUGACACAUUCAAUGAGGUGUACGUGCGGCCUGGUGAUGAGUUGACGAAUGAGAUCCAUGCUACUAUGGUCGAGAUGAAUCAGGUUGUCCUCGAGGAAGUGGCUUCCCAGCUUCCCCCUGACACCACAAUGGAGAAGUUACCCCCUUCCUCGAGGAUGCGGGUUUUCGUAUCAUGACAGACACCAUCAACCAGAAACUCUGUCUUAUGCAGGGGAAGGUGUAUCAAGGCAUGGGAAAUCCCGCCAUCAUGAGAUGGGGGCAUCAUCUUCCACCUCCACCUCGGGACAGGUCACAUUAUUGACGGAGCAAGUAGUGGAACUCCAAUAGCAGGUGGCGGCCCAAAAUCAGUACAUUAUGAUGCAAACUACCCUCAUCGCCACCCAGCAUGCUCAUAUUGCUGCCCAAGAGUCUAGGAUGGCCCAAAUCAUCACCGCGUUUAUGAGGGGAGGCUUCGACAUCCCCGCCACUACACCUCAUACUACUACGCCUUCGACUUCCCAAGCCCUCGACCCAGCACAGCCAACUGCCGAAGCUAACUCUGAUGACUUUUUAUUUUAGUUUUUUUUAAUUAAACCUUCGUACUUUUACAAAAUCUGGGCUUACGAAUCUGUUGAGCCUUUUCG
This 823-nucleotide small RNA is filed under the name Malus domestica (apple). Its description in RNAcentral is "sRNA MD13G0113800". Lineage: Eukaryota; Viridiplantae; Streptophyta; Magnoliopsida; Rosales; Rosaceae. The record is from RNAcentral.